RNAcentral lists this non-coding RNA (31 nucleotides) under Rattus norvegicus (Norway rat). Lineage: Eukaryota; Metazoa; Chordata; Mammalia; Rodentia; Muridae. The record is from RNAcentral.
UNGGCAGCAUCAGACAGUCUAGAAAUGUCUA